GUGCUCGCUUCGGCAGCACAUAUACUAAACCUGGAACGAUACAGAGAAGAUCAGCAUGGCCCCUGCACCAGGAUGGCAUGCCAACGCGUGAAGUGUGCCAUAAGAAG
Molecule: small nuclear RNA, 107 nt
Filed under: Myotis davidii
Lineage: Eukaryota; Metazoa; Chordata; Mammalia; Chiroptera; Vespertilionidae
Source: RNAcentral